Macrobrachium nipponense is the source of this 390-nucleotide long non-coding RNA. RefSeq lists it as uncharacterized. The record is from RefSeq and is a predicted model, not a curated record. The transcript has 3 exons. NCBI's taxonomy places the organism in Eukaryota, Metazoa, Arthropoda, Malacostraca, Decapoda, Palaemonidae.
UAACGUUACAUAAAACAGAAAAUAUUUGGGUAAUCUGUAACGCUCUUUUCUGGGUUAUUUACAUUAGAGUCAGCUGUUGGUGUUGGGAAACGUGACGGACGGCCUUUGAACCUUUGGUGUCAAUUUACUCGUCUUGCCAGCUUGUUUACUCUAAGAUGAAUUACUCGAGAUUUCUUACAAGAGUUUCCAAGAACAGGCAGCCAUCCCUUAUUAGAGAAUUAACCAACCUGCUUUCCGAUGCUUCCCCUGAACUUGUUUUCAUGGCUGGAGGUCUGCCAAAUCCACAGAUGUUUCCAUUUCAAGCUGCGUCAGUUACCCUAAAGGAUGGCCGAGCUCUCACCAUUCAUCCAGAUCUCAUGACUGAUUGUCUGCAGUAUGGACCUACUCCUG